RNAcentral lists this small RNA (169 nucleotides) under Methylocapsa palsarum. RNAcentral's name for it is "caulobacter sRNA CC2171". Lineage: Bacteria; Pseudomonadati; Pseudomonadota; Alphaproteobacteria; Hyphomicrobiales; Beijerinckiaceae. The record is from RNAcentral.
AAACAAACGAAAGGAGGUGAUCCUGUGUCUCAUUGUCUCGCGCGCUCUCCUCGGAGUAGCGCCAUUCUGGCGGUCCGGGACAACAUUCUGGAUAACAUUUUCCGGAUUUCGUUCAGGCUGAUUUAGACGGCCUGCCAGAAUGAAGGCGGGGGACUUCGCACCCCCCGCC